Molecule: ribosomal RNA, 394 nt
Filed under: uncultured archaeon
Lineage: Archaea
Description: bacterial SSU rRNA
Rfam family: Archaeal small subunit ribosomal RNA
Source: RNAcentral
CAUGAAGGGCCAGGCUGAUGACCUUNCCUGAUUUUUCGAGAGGUGGUGCAUGGCCGCCGUCAGUUCGUACCGUAAGGCGUUCUGUUAAGUCAGAUNCCGAACGAGACCCUCAUUGCCAUUUGCUAGGCUCUUCUCCGGAAGGGUUGCACUAUGGCGAGACCGCCACUGCUGAAGUGGAGGAAGGAGGGGGCAACGGUAGGUCAGUAUGCCCCGAAUCUCCCGGGCUACACGCGCGCUACAAAGGGCAGGACAAUGGGCUUCGACGCCGAAAGGCGAAGGCAAUCCUGAAACCUGCUCGUACUUCGGAUUGAGGGCUGCAAUUCGCCCUCAUGAAGCUGGAAUCCGUAGUAAUCGCGGGUCAAAAUCCCGCGGUGAAUAUGCCCCUGCUCCUUGC